UGGGGAAUCUUGCGCAAUGGGCGAAAGCCUGACGCAGCCAUGCCGCGUGAAUGAUGAAGUAUUUCGGUAUGUAAACUUCGAAAGAAUAGGAAGAAUAAAUGACGGUACUAUUUAUAAGGUCCGGCUAACUACGUGCCAGCAGCCGCGGUAAUACGUAGGGACCAAGCGUUGUUCGGAUUUACUGGGCGUAAAGGGCGCGUAGGCGGCAAUUCAAGUCAUCUGUGAAAUCUCCGGGCUUAACUCGGAACGGUCAGAUGAUACUGCUUUGCUAGAGUGCAGAAGGGGCAAUCGGAAUUCUUGGUGUAGCGGUGAAAUGCGUAGAUAUCAAGAGGAACACCUGAGGUGAAGACGGGUUGCUGGGCUGACACUGACGCUGAGGCGCGAAAGCCAGGGGAGCAAACGGGAUUAGAUACCCCCGUAGUCCCUG
Molecule: ribosomal RNA, 427 nt
Filed under: uncultured bacterium
Lineage: Bacteria
Description: bacterial SSU rRNA
Rfam family: Bacterial small subunit ribosomal RNA
Source: RNAcentral